Long non-coding RNA from Zingiber officinale, 164 nucleotides. RefSeq lists it as uncharacterized. The record is from RefSeq and is a predicted model, not a curated record. Lineage: Eukaryota; Viridiplantae; Streptophyta; Magnoliopsida; Zingiberales; Zingiberaceae. The transcript is spliced from 3 exons.
GGUGGAUCUUGUUUCAGUUGAGGGUCUUUUAAGGAGAAGGUGUUAAGUAAGGGGGAUUCCAGUCAAGUGUUGUGCACUGUGGGAAAAAUUUCAGCAAAGAGCAGCAACUAUCUCUUGGCGUGGAUCAGUGAGUACGAGGGUAGUCUUGUGCUGUGGAUUUUCGU